GAUGAACGCUGGCGGCGUGCCUAAUACAUGCAAGUAGAACGCUGAAGGAAGGAGCUUGCUCUUUCCGGAUGAGUUGCGAACGGGUGAGUAACGCGUAGGUAACCUGCCUGGUAGCGGGGGAUAACUAUUGGAAACGAUAGCUAAUACCGCAUAACAGUAGAUGUUGCAUGAUAUCUACUUAAAAGGUGCAAUUGCACCACUACCAGAUGGACCUGCGUUGUAUUAGCUAGUUGGUGAGGUAACGGCUCACCAAGGCGACGAUACAUAGCCGACCUGAGAGGGUGAUCGGCCAAACUGGGACUGAGACACGGCCCAGACUCCUACGGGAGGGAGCAGUAGGGAAUCUUCGGCAAUGGACGGAAGUCUUACCGAGCAACGCCGCGUGAGGGAAGAAGGGUUUCGGAUCGUAAAGCUCUGUUGUAAGAGAAGAACGAGUGUGAGAGUGGAAAGUUCACACUGUGACGGUAUCUUAACAGAAAGGGACGGCUAACUACGUG
This 497-nucleotide ribosomal RNA is filed under the name uncultured bacterium. RNAcentral's name for it is "partial 16S ribosomal RNA". It matches the Rfam family "Bacterial small subunit ribosomal RNA", at positions 28 to 507 of the family's 1533-position model. The record is from RNAcentral.